This is a long non-coding RNA of Dermacentor silvarum, 338 nucleotides long. RefSeq lists it as uncharacterized. The transcript is spliced from 3 exons. The record is from RefSeq and is a predicted model, not a curated record. Lineage: Eukaryota; Metazoa; Arthropoda; Arachnida; Ixodida; Ixodidae.
GCGGUCGUAUUACGAAGCUAUACAGUCCCCCUCCUUGAUACAGAAACUGUAACAGGUUCGUAAAAAGAAGUUUUAUAGUAAAUUGUUUUCGACCAUACGGACCCUCACUGUUAUUUUUCUACUCCCCCGUAUGGAAUACUACCAAAGCACAGGUCUCAGAAUAGCGGUGUACACACUGAUUGCUUCGGUCAUCUGCAACUACGUCCAGACCGGGAGCCCAGCGGACGCCGAGCGACGUCCAUCGUGCGAUGAGGGCGCGACGCACACACCUGCUAUUAUACCCCGGCGCCUCUACUCCUACUCUCCGGAGCACGAUCCGAUUGGUCGGCUCCUCUCCU